This 1404-nucleotide unclassified non-coding RNA is filed under the name Hevea brasiliensis (rubber tree). Lineage: Eukaryota; Viridiplantae; Streptophyta; Magnoliopsida; Malpighiales; Euphorbiaceae. The record is from RNAcentral.
GGCAGAUAUAACCUCAAGCUUCUAAUGAAAAAUGAGAAUCGUUUUUGUCUUCCCUUAUUUAUAUAUAACUCUGGCUGGAAAAAUAUUCAUUUUACAACUCGUCGGCGUUUGUUGCAAUUGUGUUUCAAUCCAGCUUAUGCAAGUGAUGCCUAGGGAAGGCUGGUCCUCUGUUUGUUUCUAUGUCCGAAAACUGCUUGUCUUUCUCAGUCGUCUGGACCGUUAAGUGUGGUAUUAACCGUUAAGUAACAAUGAGUCAACUCGAGAACGGUAGCUAGAAGAUCCUUUCCUUUCCAGAUCGCUUUUUAUUGCGAUAAAACCCUCCAUUUGCCUCUAACAAGAGCGCGUAACAAUUCCAAAACUCUAUCUAUCUUCCCCAAACUUAUAUUUCCGGUUCUUGCCUCUGAUAACCCUUCCUUUUCUUUAUUUUUUCAAUGGAAUCAGCUGAUAAUGAAGUUGCCCACGAGUUCAGAUUCUUCAGGGUGUACAAAGAUGGUCGCAUCCACAUGUUCAUGCCAACCUGCGAAACAAUCCCACCAUAUGAUGACCGGGCCAGCGGAGUCCAAUCCAAAGAUGUGACCAUCUCAACCCAACCCUCUGUAUCUGUCCGUAUUUUCUUACCAAAACUCCAAAACCCUAAUCAGAAACUCCCUCUCUUAUUUUACAUUCAUGGAGGUGGUUUCUCCAUGAUGUCUGCCUUUUCCCCAGCCUACCACAGUUACUGUGCUGCUCUAGCUGCUGAGGCUAACGUCCUCGUUGUCUCCGUAGAGUACGGUCUCUUCCCAACCCGACCCAUACCCGCAUGCUAUGAAGAUUCGUGGGCAGCGCUUCAAUGGGCGGCGUCUCAUGUGAAUCGGAAUGGACCCGAGCAGUGGUUGAAUGAUCAUGCUGAUUUUGCGCAAGUUUUUAUUGGUGGGGAUAGUGCAGGGGGUAACAUAUCGCAUACUUUGGCGUUUCGGGUCGGGACAAUCGGGUUACCAGCCGGAGUAAAGGUGGUUGGGCUGAUUUUGGUGCACCCAUAUUUUGGUGGCACUGAAGAUGAUGAAAUGUGGCUGUACAUGUGUCCAGAUAAUAGAGGUUUGGAUGAUCCAAGGAUGAACCCGUCUGUGGAGGAUAUUGGGGGGCUUGGGUGUGAGAGAGUGUUGAUUUUUGUAGCUGAGAAAGACCAUUUGAACCCUGUGGGCAAAAACUACCAUAAGAAGCUGAAGAAAAGUGGAUGGAAAGGAAGCUUUGAACUUGUUGAAAACGAAAAGGAAGAACACUGCUUCCAUAUUCGUUAUCCCAACCAUGACAAGGCAUCGGAGUUGAUGAGAAAGUUUGUUUCCUUUCUUAAACAAGAGUAAUUUGGUUCCAUUUGUAAUGUAUGAACUUCCAUUGAAUAAAACAAGGCUUGAUUUAUGAUUAAAA